CACUCUACAUUCCCUUCUCUCUUUCUUUGAGUUUGUCCUUCUUUCUCUCUUAUCCUGUCACUGCAGUGUUUAUAUUUACACUCGCGGUCGGCGAUUAGUAAACUAAGUUGACAGAAAAAAAUGGAGGAUUCCAAUGAGGUGCUAGUCUGUGCAGCAGAGUUUUUGAAGGAUCGGUUAUACUUUGUCACACUGAGGACAACAGUGAAGCCUCGAAGCACCUCUAACACCCAUUACUUCAGUAUUGACGAUGAGCUCAUCUAUGAGAACUUCUAUGCUGAUUUUGGACCCUUGAAUCUUGCAAUGCUUCAUCGUUAUUGUCAGAAAGUGAACAAGAAACUGAAGGCGGUCACUCUGAGCAAGAAGAAAAUUGUCCACUACACUGUGAUGGACCCUCAGAAGCGUGUAAACGCUGCAUUUCUUAUCGCUAGCUAUGUGAUAAUCUAUUGGAAACGUAGUGCCGAAGAAGCCUAUGAUAUUUUGAUAGCCAGCCCAACAAGUCCACCACUCAUAAUGUUUCGAGAUGCCUCUCUGGGUCCACCGUGCUACCAGAUAUCAUUAAAAGAAUGCCUCCGUGCCAUCCACAAGUGCUAUUCUUUGGGAUUUUUCAAUUUUCGUGAUUUUCACCGUGAAGAGUAUGAAUACUUUGAGCGCGUGGAAAACGGCGACAUGAAUUGGAUAGUUCCAGGAAAAUUUAUUGCAUUUUGCGGACCCCAUGCUAAAUCGAAAAUUGAAAAUGGGUAUCCCCUACAUGCUCCGGAAUCUUACUUUGCAUACUUUCGCCGUAACAAUGUUUCGACGAUAGUUCGGCUUAAUAAGAAAAUUUACGAAGCCUCUAGAUUUGUCGAAGCUGGCUUUGAACACAAGGAGUUGUUCUUCAUAGAUGGUUCGACGCCCACUAAUUCUAUAAUGCAACAGUUUCUGAAAAUAGCUGAAACUGCACCUGGUGCUGUCGCGGUACAUUGCAAAGCUGGCCUUGGUAGAACAGGAUCCCUUAUCGGCUGUUAUAUCAUGAAACAUUACCAUCUUACAGCUCGGGAAACCAUUGCAUGGAUCAGAAUAUGUAGACCUGGUUCGGUAAUCGGCCACCAACAACACUGGCUCGAGGAAAAAGAAGCUUACCUUCAUUCCUUACUGAAGGUACCGCUGCGUCCUGAGAACGGAAAUCCCGUGCAUCAGUUUGGGAUAUAUUCAGUGGCUGGAAGACCCGGUGGAUUGUCCUUAUCUGGUCUGCGAAAUUCUCGUUUAGUUCAAGACAAUGUCUCAGGGAUCAUGCACCGUGUCGAUGGUAUAAAACUUGACGAUCCUGGGCCGCUUCCAGGCAUUGUAGUACCAAAAAUCUCAGUGUUAACUCAAGGCGAUAAGUUGAAUCAGAUAAAAGCAUCACGACGCAGCAUCAUACCUUCUUGUCAAUCGUCUCUGGGCGGUAUAUCGAGCCCUUCGACUGUUGCACAUCCUUACCUGGGACCUUUGCUUCAAACAAGGAGUCAGAAAGGAACCGCCAGCUUGGCUAGUAACAAGGACAAAGAAGUACCUAAACGACUCCUCGGCCGUGCAGCUACUACAACGAUUGUAAAGAGAAAUAGUUGGCUGGUCACUAACAACUGCGAAUCAAGUGUGCGCCGUAUCAAUUCCAAAGCAACAACACAGAUUCGUAGUAUGAACAACAAUCGCAAUCACAUCAACAACAACAACAACAACAACAACAAUAGCAACAAUGUCAACAACGAUGUGGAUUCAACGAGUCCGGUAACUUCCAGUUCUGUAUCAAAGCCAGUUACAAGGUCCAGUGUCAGAGCUUCGUGUGUUACCGAAGCUCGCACUGCUGUUGCAACUACAAACCGCGCAGCUCUGCAGCCCCAACCGGGCAUGAAUAUGAUUCUGCGAUCAGCAGAUCGUGUCACACGAUAUCAUUCACUGAGACAAGAUGUCAGAGACGAUAGGGUGGCCAUCCGUAUAUCUCACCGACGUAGGAGAUCUUGCCGCCUAAAUCCCAUCGCUCAGUGAGAUAAGCAUCACCACGUCGACAAUGUAGCCGAGGUUCAAGCAUUGAAGCAAAGAACGCGGAUCUCAUGGUGCCGAAAUGCGAAUAUCCUUGCCAACAAGGAGAGGGAGAAAGAGAGAUAAGCAGAUACAUAUAGAUGGUGGAAAGCGUUAACUUUACGGUGAAACGACAUUAUUCUACAAAUGUACAAGCCCAGAUUCACAACGCAAGCUACGAGUGCACGAACAACCGAAAAUAUGAGCUGACUGACACAUUCGUCUUUGUAAAUGGCUAUGUAUUUUGUACAUACUUACAAGGAAUCAACCAAUAGUUUCAUCCUUGGUGUAACAUUGAAAAAGUCUUUCUGUAGAGAAAUGUACAAGUACUAUCAUAAUUACAGUUAAACAAAUUAACAGUAGGUUUGAUACAUUAACACUUUCUAAACGCAGUAAAGUUUAUCGAUUUUAUAGUAACAUAAAGACUUAUUGUACUAAUGUAGGUUUACGCUUUUAUUUUUUUUUCACUCUUUACGUAUAUGUAACAUUUUUAAGAAUUUUGUCAAUGAUUUUAAAAUUAAUUAAAAACUGGAAACUUACUUCGUUGCUUGACAUACUACGAUCUUUUCUCUGGUCAGAUGCAAAUGUUAAAUCAGUCGUAUUAUCAUUUUAUUCUCGAUGUAGACAUAGUUUGCAAUAUAGCAAUCAGGUGUAAGCUACGGCAUCGUACAGAUAUUGGACAUAGAGAAGGAUCUACUUACUGACAUCUUUCACCAGUAGCAGUGCGCUGACCUGAUUUGAAAUUAUCCUUCGUUUCAAUUUGAAUUCAAUGUAUUUUCCUAUUGCGGAAGAUGAUCGAAAUAUAACAAAGAUAGUUUAAAAUGACUGGACCCCAUUAAUGCAGCACUACAUCAAAAUAUGUUCUGCAACAGUAUCAUUGCAUCAUGGUCAGUACGAAGUUUAUAUUAUAGAAAACAUGUAGGAUACAAAACCAUAAAUUUUAUCAAUCCCAAUAGUUGCAUCGUGAGAAACUGAUAAAUUUCAAAAAUAUUCGAUUUCGAGUAGGUUUUUUUUUUUAGUAUUACAUUUCAUUUUAACCCGGUACCAACGUUUUCAUUUCACGUCGUACCACUUUCUUAUGCAUAAGUACAAAGCACCCAAAUUUAUUGGAACUCGAAAUUUAAGUCACGGUUAUCAUUCGCCUGCUGUAUUAUUAUCCAUAACAUUCGAAACAUGUAUUUUUCUAUCAAUUAGGUAUCACAUUGCAGUGGAUUCUUUGUAGAGAUAUAUCAAUUUAUUUCUGCAAGGAAUAAUUGAAAGGAUACGUCACAUGACAUUGGAUGAUAUAAGAUAUCAAUGCAUUAGCUUAGAAUAAAUAUUUUUUUUUUUUGUCAAAGCGUAAAAAUUUAUUUAAGAGUAUAAAAUACAAGCUGUCUAUAGGAUAGAGUACGACUAUUUUAGAAAAUAUAAAAUCCCAGGUCGGUGUCAACUUCACAAAUAUUUUAUCAAUGUCGUGUUGUUCGCGCAGCUGUAAUAUUUACAGAAACAGCGUUAACUUAUGAAUAACGAUAAGAUAUUUGUAAUUACAAAUAUGAAUAAAUCAUUGCAAUGGUUAUUUUCCUGAAA
This 3603-nucleotide unclassified non-coding RNA is filed under the name Neodiprion pinetum (white pine sawfly). RNAcentral describes it as "dual specificity protein phosphatase CDC14A-like, transcript variant X11". The record is from RNAcentral. Lineage: Eukaryota; Metazoa; Arthropoda; Insecta; Hymenoptera; Diprionidae.